RNAcentral lists this long non-coding RNA (1915 nucleotides) under Ananas comosus (pineapple). RNAcentral's name for it is "long non-coding RNA (ACOM_LNC039060)". Lineage: Eukaryota; Viridiplantae; Streptophyta; Magnoliopsida; Poales; Bromeliaceae. The record is from RNAcentral.
UGAAGGCUUGGUUAAAGCUCCUAACUAAUUUAGUAUGAUUGUUAGGGUGCAUGGAGGCUAGAGAGCACCUUCGCUCGCGGGAUCGACAAGAGUCGACAGCGAUUCGGUGGGUUUGACCUCACCGAAAUAGGUGAAUUCCCUCUAUGUUCUUAUUCUUAACAUAGAGCUUGAAUUAUGCAUCUGUUUUGCUAGCGGCAUCAUAAAUGAGUUGUAAGAUGUACUAAUAGUACUGAUAUCAUGUGGCAAAAUUAUACUCUAUGUAGUAAAGAGCUAAAAGUAUUAAAUUCAUUGCAUGAUAACUAAUAUACUUGUGUAAACACGUCGAGAAUGAGUAUAGUAUGCUUAGACUAGCAUGAAAUUCAUGUUGUUGUUAUAACCUAGUUGAUAACUUGUAGUAUCCUUUAUAUAUACAUAUAUAUAUAUAUAUAUAUAUAUAUAUAUAUAUAUAUGGAUGCCACAUGCCCAUGUCUAUACAUAUAUAUAUGUGUGUGGAUGCCAUGUGCCCCCAUGCAUGGUUAUCCAUUCAAUUAAUUGAGGGAUGCAGCCUACACCUCUCUAAUUAUAUUUUUCUUUCUCUCUUUCGUGUGGAGUGGAGAGCCGAAGCGGAGGAGCUCGGUGGAGGUAGCCGUGAGCACGAGUUCGACGCCGACGACGCGUCGCGAAGCCAUUCGAGGGUACGGUUGGGAUCGUAGCGCUGCGAGGAAGCUAGGCGAGGGUACGUUUUCGCCGUUCUCGACGCCGCGUCGAUGUCCGAUUAGCCUUUGAGGUGAGUGUUCCGUUGCAUUGCUUCAAGUAUUGUCAUUUCGAGCUUGGUGCUGAUUUGCAGAAUUUCCAGCGUCGACCGUCGGUAUUUCAGUUCGUACUCGACGUAGGAGCGUCGGUUUUCGACGGGACUUGGUUCGUUGGAUUCGAGACUUCGAGAGGAAUCCACGAAGCCCUUACUUGCUGGAUUUGGUAAAGGUUUGCUAGGUCAGAAUUUCGCUCCUCUCUGUUGCUGUUUUUGAGGCAGAAUUAAUGCUUAUUGUCGGAUUCUCCGUGUAGAGUUUGGCGGGAGCUUGACUUCGGGCCUUGGGAGGUUUUCGGACGUUUCGGCAGGUUGUUCCGCAGCCGAGGGGAGUUCCGUGCUGCCAGGGAUUAGCGAGCGAGGUGGGUUAAUCAUCGGUUUAUACUCCUAAGUGCUUAGUAGUCAACAUGUAUGAAUUUUGGAUUUUGUGUAGUUUACUUUAGCUCGAAUUCAUGGAUUAUUAUGUGAAUGACUAAUCUGAAUUUGGAGCAUGUGAUAAUAAAUUAAGUAAAUAUACAUGUUGGACUUGGAACUUGACUUAGGAGAAAACAAGCGUUUUGGGACCUGUCACCUGUUUAAACUACCUGAUUUAGCCCUAGGGGCCGUUGUAUUAAUUUAUACUGUUGCAGUAUCCUCAAAGUAAGUAUUCCAGGUAGUUUAGUUUUCAGUUACGCUCGUGCUGGGAUGCCGAGUGUAUUUUUACUGUAGCGUUCAGGCUGUUCCGGAUUGUUGGGUGCCGUCGGGAUUGACGGUGGACCCGUAUCGCCUUUUUGGCGUUGGAUUGUGCCGAGGACACGAUACCUGUUGGUUGUUAGACCAGUUUGAGUCGGUUACUGGACUUUGGCUUUUGAGAGCCUAAUUGAGCUCGACAGAGAUACGCUGCAUACUCGGUUGGGUAGCUCCCACGAGUGCCACUCCGGAGACGGGCGCUGUGCUUUCGCGUUGGUGUCGCUCAUGCCGGUUGGACUUGCUCUCCACGGACUAGUAGUGUGGAGGUAGCUGGAUAGUCACAACUGGGCAGGGACGGGUGUGUUCACAGUCCCAGGGACGGGUAUGCUUACAGUCCCGAUUGGAUUGGGUCAGAUUUGACAUUUUCCUACAGUUGGUUAGUGUAGAGCAUGAUAGUGUAGU